GUUAGACACCUUCUGGGCUGCCCAGCUCCCGGAACAGCCUGACAAGUGUGUAUUACCGCCGUCUUACAAUGAGGAAACUGAGACUCAGGAGUGACUUUCCAAGGUCACACAGGUGGGGUGGCCCUCAGGCUGACCUGCACUCCCACUGCGGCACCCACCGGAAUCUCUGAGGGAUGUCCCAGGACACCCAGCUGAGCUGAGAGAAGAACCCCAGUCCCCUGCCUCCCGCCCAUGGUGGUGUCCCCUGAUGAAAUUCGGGGGCAGGGAGAGAUGCUAGAGGGCAGCCUGCCAUGGCAAUGACCAGAGGGUCAUGGUGGGGGCCUGGCUUGGGUCUGUGGCUAGCCCUGACCGUGACCGUGCAGUGACCGUGACCAUGUCCCCCGAGCAGUGACCGUGACCAUGUUCCCCUGGGAAGCCGAGAGGAGCGCCCCCUUCAGCCAGCCUCUUCCCACCGAGACGGGCUUCCCGAGUUCCUGGUGUGGGCCCUCCGUGUGGGGGGCAACAGUGAGCAUCUUCAGAAAGGGAAGCAAAACCGAAACAAUACAAUCAGAGAAAACGAAUGCUGGAAGCGGUGUUGUGGACCACGUGGGGCAAUCCUUCCUGCUUCCAACCCGAUCCCUCAUCUUGAUAGGUGGAGAAACUGAGGCUCAGAGAGAGAGAAAGAGAGAGAGAUGUUCAUCGAUUGGUUGCCUUCUGUAUGCGCCUGGACCUGGGAUCGGCACCCGGACCCUGGAUUGUACAUGCCUGUGCCUGCGCCGGGACUGGGGAUCAAACACGCAACCUAG
Long non-coding RNA from Phyllostomus hastatus (greater spear-nosed bat), 785 nucleotides. RefSeq lists it as uncharacterized. The transcript has 5 exons. The record is from RefSeq and is a predicted model, not a curated record. Lineage: Eukaryota; Metazoa; Chordata; Mammalia; Chiroptera; Phyllostomidae.